Armigeres subalbatus is the source of this 585-nucleotide long non-coding RNA. RefSeq lists it as uncharacterized. The record is from RefSeq and is a predicted model, not a curated record. The transcript has 5 exons. NCBI's taxonomy places the organism in Eukaryota, Metazoa, Arthropoda, Insecta, Diptera, Culicidae.
UCGACUCGGUACCAGGUUUGUGCUCGCCCGCGUUGAAAGUGCCCCGUCCCACAAGUGUGUAGUGCAAGUAUCAUCUAAUGCACCAAAGUGCAUCACCGAAAGCGCAAAGUGUUGCGCAAUAACGCCAGCAACAAUAUUCCGGCAGAAGCUUCACCAAAUCCCGCAUUUCAUCUACAAAUCGAUGUGCAUGUACCCCACGAGCUGUUUGCAAUAGGGGACAAGGAAAACCAUUUUGUCGCACAACAUAAACGGAUUUGGGGAAACUACUUCGUGGACAUACAUCAUCGGGCACUUUCGUCGAAGGCAAACAAACCAGGCCGUGGUCCAGAUUGAGUAACAGCAAUCACGCUAGUAAAUUCCAAUUGGAAUUAUCUGACUAUUGGACAAUACAGAGCAGUGUGAGCUCCUGAGCUAUUAUACCAUCAUACCGCGUUGCUGCUACCGAAAGCAAAAAGGAAAGGCCUUCUUAAAAAGAAGGCCUUUUCUAUCACAGUGUCUCACACUAUAUCGUUGCGUCUCGUGAGAAAAGCGUUGUGCCGGUCGACUGCUAGCUGCUACAUCGAAGGGAAGUGCUGAGUGUUUGGC